This 60-nucleotide transfer RNA is filed under the name marine eukaryotic metagenome. It matches the Rfam family "tRNA", at positions 8 to 63 of the family's 71-position model. From Rfam's summary of the family: Transfer RNA (tRNA) molecules are approximately 80 nucleotides in length. The record is from RNAcentral.
AAUAGCUCAGUUGGUAGAGCAUCGGACUGUUAAUCCGCAGGUCCCUGGUUCGAGUCCAGG